UACUCGUAACGUGUCGUGAUUUUUGUGUUGCAGUCUACAAUGCAUUGCUUCAAACUGUUAAGCAUUAUGAUGCUACUAGCUAUCACCAUUGACUUGUGCGUUGGUGCCAUCAAUUCGAACUCCGGACCCCAAUCUGCGGAACAUGAUAACGGUGCCUGACAACUGUCCUGAAGGACAAGAGUACAUAAACGGCCAUUGUCGCGACGUGUGGUAACAAGAGGGUAACAAAUCAAGCUUGAGUGUAAAGGACCUUAUUCUACAUCAUUUCAUUUAAUUCGGUACCAAAAUGAUUUAUCUGCGCGAGUUGAGCUACAAGCGCGACGUUGUUAGGUAUUUGUAUUGGAAUUACCUAAGUUAUCGUUUUUUAAAGGUCCUUGUACAAUAUCAGGCGAAACUUGAACCAUGAUUCAAUAAAUUUAUUUUUGUGUAAAAAA
Molecule: long non-coding RNA, 434 nt
Organism: Cydia fagiglandana
Lineage: Eukaryota; Metazoa; Arthropoda; Insecta; Lepidoptera; Tortricidae
Exons: 3
Source: RefSeq, a predicted model, not a curated record